Plutella xylostella (diamondback moth) is the source of this 86-nucleotide non-coding RNA. NCBI's taxonomy places the organism in Eukaryota, Metazoa, Arthropoda, Insecta, Lepidoptera, Plutellidae. The record is from Rfam.
UUCCUGACACGAGAUAGUGACAUAGCUGAGAUAGGUUUCAUUUCACACUAACUUAUCCCAGCUAUGUCACUGACUAAUGUCAGAUU